Molecule: ribosomal RNA, 246 nt
Filed under: uncultured bacterium
Lineage: Bacteria
Description: partial small subunit ribosomal RNA
Rfam family: Bacterial small subunit ribosomal RNA
Source: RNAcentral
AGAAUCAACGCUGGCGGCGUGCCUAACACAUGCAAGUCGCACGAGAAAGGGGCUUCGGCUCUGAGUAAAGUGGCGCACGGGUGAGUAACACGUGACUAAUCUACCCUCGAGUGGGGAAUAACUGAGAGAAAUCUUAGCUAAUACCGCAUAACACUUACGAGUCAAAGCAGCAAUGCGCUUGGGGAGGAGGUCGCGGCCGAUUAGCUAGUUGGCGGGGUAAUGGCCCACCAAGGCGAUGAUCGGUAU